AUGACAUCGUGUGUUGCUUUUGUUGAUGUCCAACGACGGUGGUUAGAACAACUUCGUCAUCGGUGUUGUACGGCAGGUGUGAAGGUGACGCGACAGGGACGAAAAACACGCGGAUCUGUUCGUCGGCGGAGUUGUGGUCAGGAUCGCCGAUUUUCUUCUUUUCUGCAAAAAAAAAUUGAAACUUUGUUCUGCAAAAACAAAAAUCAGUACAAGUUAUUGUAUUAG
Vicia faba (fava bean) is the source of this 225-nucleotide non-coding RNA. Lineage: Eukaryota; Viridiplantae; Streptophyta; Magnoliopsida; Fabales; Fabaceae. The record is from the annotation of a GenBank genome assembly.